UACGUAGGGUGCAAGCGUUGUCCGGAAUUAUUGGGCGUAAAGCGCUCGUAGGCGGUUCGUCGCGUCGGCUGUGAAAACCUGAGGCUCAACCUCAGGCCUGCAGUCGAUACGGGCGGACUUGAGUACUGCAGGGGAGACUGGAAUUCCUGGUGUAGCGGUGAAAUGCGCAGAUAUCAGGAGGAACACCAAUGGCGAAGGCAGAUCUCUGGGCCGUAACUGACGCUGAGGAGCGAAAGCAUGGGGAGCGAACAGG
Molecule: ribosomal RNA, 253 nt
Filed under: uncultured bacterium
Lineage: Bacteria
Description: partial 16S ribosomal RNA
Rfam family: Bacterial small subunit ribosomal RNA
Source: RNAcentral